This 253-nucleotide ribosomal RNA is filed under the name uncultured bacterium. RNAcentral's name for it is "partial 16S ribosomal RNA". It matches the Rfam family "Bacterial small subunit ribosomal RNA", at positions 524 to 776 of the family's 1533-position model. The record is from RNAcentral.
GACAGAGGGUGCAACCGUUGUUCGGAAUUACUGGGCGUAAAGCGCGUGUAGGCUGCUCAGAAAGUCGGAUGUGAAAGCCCUGGGCUUAACCUAGGAAGUGCAUUCGAAACUUCUGAGCUUGAGUUCUGGAGAGGAAGGCGGAAUUCUCGGUGUAGAGGUGAAAUUCGUAGAUAUCGAGAGGAACACCGGUGGCGAAGGCGGCCUUCUGGACAGUGACUGACGCUGAGACGCGAAAGCGUGGGGAGCAAACAGG